AUUGAACGCUGGCGGCAUGCUUUACACAUGCAAGUCGAACGGUAACAGGCCUUCGGGUGCUGACGAGUGGCGAACGGGUGAGUAAUGCAUCGGAACGUGCCCAAUCGUGGGGGAUAACGUAGCGAAAGUUACGCUAAUACCGCAUAAGCCCUGAGGGGGAAAGCAGGGGAUCGCAAGACCUUGCGCGAAUGGAGCGGCCGAUGUCAGAUUAGCUAGUUGGUGGGGUAAAGGCCUACCAAGGCGACGAUCUGUAGCGGGUCUGAGAGGAUGAUCCGCCACACUGGGACUGAGACACGGCCCAGACUCCUACGGGAGGCAGCAGUGGGGAAUAUUGCGCAAUGGGCGAAAGCCUGACGCAGCCACGCCGCGUGAGUGAUGAAGGCCUUCGGUUGUAAGACUCUGUCGGGAGGGAAGGAAGGGACGCGAAGACCUGACGGUACCUCGCAAGAAAGACACCGGCGUAACUACUGUGCCAGCAG
RNAcentral lists this ribosomal RNA (479 nucleotides) under uncultured bacterium. Its description in RNAcentral is "bacterial SSU rRNA". It matches the Rfam family "Bacterial small subunit ribosomal RNA", at positions 29 to 514 of the family's 1533-position model. The record is from RNAcentral.